GUCGGCGUUAUUACGGUGCAACCCACACAAGUGGGGGUAAUGACAGAGCUUCCAGGCCGUGUGGAUGCUUCGCGUGUCGCGGAAGUACGCGCACGAGUCGCGGGCAUCGUGCAAAAACGCGUUUUUGCCGAAGGCUCGGAUGUCAAGGCUGGACAACUGCUGUACGUGAUUG
RNAcentral lists this non-coding RNA (172 nucleotides) under Comamonas kerstersii. The record is from RNAcentral. Lineage: Bacteria; Pseudomonadati; Pseudomonadota; Betaproteobacteria; Burkholderiales; Comamonadaceae.